Molecule: ribosomal RNA, 441 nt
Filed under: uncultured bacterium
Lineage: Bacteria
Description: partial 16S ribosomal RNA
Rfam family: Bacterial small subunit ribosomal RNA
Source: RNAcentral
CCUACGGGAGGCAGCAGUGGGGGAUAUUGCACAAUGGGGGGAACCCUGAUGCAGCGACGCCGCGUGGGUGAAGGAGUGCUUCGGCAUGUAAAGCCCUAUCUGCAGGGAAGAAGCAAGACGGUACCUGACUAAGAAGCCCCGGCUAACUACGGGCCAGCAGGCGCGGUAAUACGUAGGGGGCGAGCGUUAUCCGGAUUCACUGGGUGUAAAGGGAGCGUAGACGGCCAUGCAAGCAAGGGGGGAAAGCCCGGGGCCCAACCCCGGGACUGCCGUUGAAACUGCAUGGCUUGAGUGCGGGAGGGGCAGGCGGAAUGCGUGGUGUAGCGGUGAAAUGCGUAGAUAUCAGGAGGAACCCCGGCGGCGAAGGCGGCCUGCUGGACUGCGACUGACGUUGAGGCUCGAAAGCGUGGGGAGCGAACAGGAUUAGAUACCCGGGUAGUC